This 201-nucleotide ribosomal RNA is filed under the name uncultured bacterium. RNAcentral describes it as "partial 16S ribosomal RNA". It matches the Rfam family "Bacterial small subunit ribosomal RNA", at positions 28 to 227 of the family's 1533-position model. The record is from RNAcentral.
GACGAACGCUGGCGGCGUGCUUAACACAUGCAAGUCGAGCGGUAAGGCCCUUUCGGGGGUACACGAGCGGCGAACGGGUGAGUAACACGUGGGUGACCUCGCCCUCAGCUCUGGGAUAAGCCGUGGGAAACCGGGUCUAAUACUGGAUAUGACUCCAUGACGCAUGUUGGUGGGGUGGAAAGCCUUGUGCGGCUGAGGAGU